UUCCCCUGGCAAUGGACAAAGAGACGGCUUGUUGGUGAUGUUGUUUUAUCAGGCAGGGGCAGUGAAGAUGGAGGUCCUUUGUUUAUCCUAGCUUCAUGGCUGGCGUGGUGGCCAAAGCUGUCUUAUGCCCAGGACACAUAA
This is a small nucleolar RNA of Acomys russatus (golden spiny mouse), 141 nucleotides long. RefSeq annotates it as small nucleolar RNA SNORA48. The transcript has a single exon. Lineage: Eukaryota; Metazoa; Chordata; Mammalia; Rodentia; Muridae. The record is from RefSeq and is a predicted model, not a curated record.